ACGUAGGUGGCAAGCGUUGUUCGGAAUUAUUGGGCGUAAAGGGCGCGUAGGCGGUUUGUUAAGUCGGUCGUGAAAGCCCGGGGCUCAACCCCGGAGGGUCGACCGAUACUGGCAGGCUAGAGUACAGGAGAGGUAGCUGGAAUUCCCGGUGUAGCGGUGAAAUGCGUAGAUAUCGAGAGGAACACCUGAGGUGAAGACGGGUUGCUGGGCCGACACUGACGCUGAGGCGCGAAAGCCAGGGGAGCAAACGGGA
Molecule: ribosomal RNA, 253 nt
Filed under: uncultured prokaryote
Description: partial 16S ribosomal RNA
Rfam family: Bacterial small subunit ribosomal RNA
Source: RNAcentral